Molecule: ribosomal RNA, 315 nt
Filed under: uncultured Lactobacillus sp.
Lineage: Bacteria; Bacillati; Bacillota; Bacilli; Lactobacillales; Lactobacillaceae
Description: bacterial SSU rRNA
Rfam family: Bacterial small subunit ribosomal RNA
Source: RNAcentral
AUGGACCUGCGAUGCAUUAGCUAGUUGGUAAGGUAACGGCUUACCAAGGGCGAUGAUGCAUAGCCCGAGUUGAGAGACUGAUCGGCCACAUUGGGGACUGAGACACGGCCCAAACUCCUGCGGGAGGCAGCAGUAGGGAAUCUUCCACAAUGGACGAAAAGUCUGAUGGAGCAAACGCCGCGUGAGUGAAGAAGGUUUUCGGAUCGUAAAGCUCUGUUGUUGGUGAAGAAGGAUAGAGGUAGUAACUGGCCCUUUAUUUGACGGUAAUCAACCAGAAAGUCACGGGCUAACUACGUGCCAGCAGCCGCGGUAAAU